GGAGUGGUAGUUCAGUUGGUUAGAAUACCGGCCUGUCACGCCGGUGGUCGCGGGUUCGAGUCCCGUCCACUCCG
Molecule: transfer RNA, 74 nt
Filed under: Gammaproteobacteria bacterium
Lineage: Bacteria; Pseudomonadati; Pseudomonadota; Gammaproteobacteria
Also listed under: 1 other name
Description: tRNA-Asp
Rfam family: tRNA
About the family: Transfer RNA (tRNA) molecules are approximately 80 nucleotides in length. Their secondary structure includes four short double-helical elements and three loops (D, anti-codon, and T loops). Further hydrogen bonds mediate the characteristic L-shaped molecular structure. tRNAs have two regions of fundamental functional importance: the anti-codon, which is responsible for specific mRNA codon recognition, and the 3' end, to which the tRNAs corresponding amino acid is attached (by aminoacyl-tRNA synthetases). tRNAs cope with the degeneracy of the genetic code in two manners: having more than one tRNA (with a specific anti-codon) for a particular amino acid; and 'wobble' base-pairing, i.e. permitting non-standard base-pairing at the 3rd anti-codon position.
Source: RNAcentral